Molecule: long non-coding RNA, 2406 nt
Filed under: Heterocephalus glaber (naked mole-rat)
Lineage: Eukaryota; Metazoa; Chordata; Mammalia; Rodentia; Bathyergidae
Description: lncRNA (ENSHGLG00000045812.1)
Source: RNAcentral
CGUCGGGUCCCACGGGAACAGAGCGGCCCAGGCAGGGGCGCGGCUUGCGCAUGGUCAGGUUUGUCCUGGCCAGGGAGACCAGGGCCUGGCCACCAGCUCCGGAGGUCUGAGGCUCCUGGGACGGGACGGUAGCCACUGCUGCUGGGAAGCCAGAGGGUCUGGAGUAGGGUCGGUCACUCCUGGAGGGAACGGUGCUCCCCGGGACACACCCCUAAAUCAGACUGGUGGGAACAGCACCUCUGCAGUUGGACCAAGAGGCAGCCCCGCCCCCGCCAACAAGGAACCAAAACAUCAAAGGGAUCGAAUUUAGGAUCUUUCGGUUGCCUGGCAGAGCUGGUGCCACUGAGCUAAAUCCCUGGCCCCUCCAGCACCAUUUAUUAAAGAGGCUAUAUUCUAGUGAAAGUGUUUGGCUCCUUUGUCAAAGAUAAGGUGCUUUCCCACAACGUGGCCUGCUUGAAAUCCUCUUCAAAUUACAGUCAUAAUAUGUGGGUGAUAUUCUGCUAUGCACCCCAUUAGAAAAAUUUUCUAGUCAGGGCAACUGGCCCCUGCUAAAAUUUUUGGCAGGUAGAGAAGGUAUAAAGUCUCCAGGUCUAAGGCACAACUUUGCAGUUCUGAAGUCAAAUAUUUGGACCUUAUCAUAUCCAAAGGAACUGGAAGACUAAGGGGAAAAAAAUUAAACCCAUACUCUCCUUCCCACUGCCCAAGACCCUAAAAAGAGCUAACAGGCCUUGGGUAGCACAAUAUGGCAAGAUAACAUGACCUCUUUAUCAACUAAAAGGAAACCCAGGGCUGGAGAUUUUAGCUCAGUGAUUCUGAUGCCUGCCUUGCAAGCGCAAGGUCCCGAGUUCGAUCCUCAGUACCAAAAAAAAAAAGGGCAACAGGAUAUGCUACAGUAACUCUGUGAGAGACACUUGGGAGCUGCUCACUCAGCCCUGGAACAAAUGCUCAGUUAGCAGAACUUACAGCCCUGACAGUGUAAAAAUAUGAAAAGAAAGGAACUCUUUAACAGCCUGUGGGUCUCCCCUAAAAUUCCAUAGAAGAGAAACUCCUGAUGUGUUUACUUGCCUUCAAAAGUGGCAGUAACACAUUGCAGAGGCACCAGAAGGGUAUGGAUGAGGUGGCACAGGGUACAUCCAGCUACAGAAAAUGCUGCUCCAGCCCCUAGGAUCUGGAAGUGUCCUUAUCCCAGACUCGGCCCAAGGACUCUCAACCAGAUGAGAAACACACGCCAAGCAUUGGGACUCAGUCCUUUCAAAAUGCUUUACAGGUGACCAUUUUAAACUAAUGAGUUUUUUAUUGAUUUAAAAAAGAAAACAUGAUUGGACUAAAGACAUCGGCUCACUUGGAAAAUUUCAACAAAUUCUGCAGCAAUGAAUGGAAGCUUAACCCAGAGAGCUCGCACAUCUGGUAUUGUACCUCGGAGACGUGGUGCUGGUAAAAUCUUCCUCAUCUGCUUCCUUAUGGCCAACUUGGGAAGGACUGUAUACACGGGUGACUCUCAAAUCACAACUGCCUUUGCUGUGGAGGUAGCUGGCUUGGAUUCCUGGGUACACCAUUACCAACUCAAGCCUUGGGAGCUGGGGACAUUUCUACCUGUGACCCACUGCCUGAAUAUUCUUGUGAGCUGGUAGAAGAUUUAAAUCUCUUGUUCAGAAAAAAAACUACAUCUCCAGAUACGAAACUUUGACAUGCUACCUCUUAUUGUUUUCAUGAUCACACUUAGACAGGGAAAGGAGUCAAAUUUGUUUUUGGUUUGUGCCCAGGAAUAUGCAAAGUCAAUAUGGCAAGAAACAUGCUAGGUUUGUGGAUGGCUUUCCUUUCCAGCACCUCAGGGCUCCCCUGGUGGGCAUUCUUCUAGAAUAGUAAGUGGAACAAGCUACUCGAUCUCAUUGAAUGUGAAAACUCUCUGGUGUUUGACAGGUAGUACAUGGAUCUAAGGUAGCUAAAUGGCCUAUACAGUCCACUCUUCACAGCCCCAAACACUUAUGAAACCUCUAGGAACAACACUCAGACCUCCAUGUGGGCACUGACUAAACCUGUUAUCCAAAUUUUCAGGCCAAGGUCCUGUUAGAUCUAACUACCAAAGCUACCAAGAUGGCUACUUCCAGUAAAUAUGGUUAACUGCCACUGUGGGAUGCCUUCGCCAAAGGACCUUCUUAUCUUGGGAACAAAGGAACCCCACUCACACUGGCUCGAUAUCACUAAAUAUGGGAUGGGCUCCCCUUGAUCAGUAGAUACAUACAACGAUUGAUUUGCAGUAGAUUGGAUUAAAUUUGAUGCAGCACCCCUAAAGGCGCCCAUCGGCUCUGCAGGACUACUUUAUGGCUGUGGCUGUGGCCUGGGUGGGUAGCGAGAUGUAUUGUGAGACUUGCCUAGUUCCAAGGCAGAUGGGUUAAGAACAUUACC